This 217-nucleotide long non-coding RNA is filed under the name Capsicum annuum. Its description in RNAcentral is "long non-coding RNA (CANN_LNC022031)". Lineage: Eukaryota; Viridiplantae; Streptophyta; Magnoliopsida; Solanales; Solanaceae. The record is from RNAcentral.
CACACGUGACAGCUUAUGUGGCAGCUGACAUGGGAGAGGAUGUUACACUUUCCAAAAAUGUGUUUAAAAUAUUGCUUUUUAAUGGGUUCAGAAGUCCAAAUGACAAACAUGUAAGUAAAAGUGUCCAACUUACAAAACAGACAUAGUACAAGGGUCUAGAAGAGCAUUUUGUCAAUUCUAAAAUUUAAAAUUUUGAGUUGGAGGACUUUUAAAAAAU